AUUGAACGCUGGCGGCAGGCUUAACACAUGCAAGCCGAGCGGAGUGAUGGUGCUUGCACUAUCACUUAGCGGCGGACGGGUGAGUAAUGCUUAGGAAUCUGCCUAUUAGUGGGGGACAACAUCUCGAAAGGGAUGCUAAUACCGCAUACGUCCUACGGGAGAAAGCAGGGGAUCACUUGUGACCUUGCGCUAAUAGAUGAGCCUAAGUCGGAUUAGCUAGUUGGUGGGGUAAAGGCCUACCAAGGCGACGAUCUGUAGCGGGUCUGAGAGGAUGCUCGGGCACCCUGGGACUGAGACACGGCCCGGACUCCUACGGGAGGCAGCAGUGGGGAAUAUUGGACAAUGGGGGGAACCCUGAUCCAGCCAUGCCGCGUGUGUGAAGAAGGCCCUAUGGUUGUAAAGCACUUUAAGCGAGGAGAAGGCUCUUUUGGUUAAUACCCAAGAUGAGUGGACGUUACUCGCAGAUUAAGCACCGGCUAACUCUGUGCCAGCCGCCGCCGUAA
Molecule: ribosomal RNA, 503 nt
Filed under: uncultured bacterium
Lineage: Bacteria
Description: partial 16S ribosomal RNA
Rfam family: Bacterial small subunit ribosomal RNA
Source: RNAcentral